This 397-nucleotide ribosomal RNA is filed under the name uncultured bacterium. Its description in RNAcentral is "partial 16S ribosomal RNA". It matches the Rfam family "Bacterial small subunit ribosomal RNA", at positions 338 to 732 of the family's 1533-position model. The record is from RNAcentral.
CCUACGGGUGGCAGCAGUGAGGAAUAUUGGUCAAUGGGCUUACGCCUGAACCAGCCAAGUCGCGUGAGGGAAGACUGCCCUAUGGGUUGUAAACCUCUUUUGUCAGGGAGCAAUUGGCGCUACGUGUAGCGUUAUCGAGAGUACAUUAAGUAAAAGCAUCGGCUAACUACGUUCCAGCAGCCGCGGUAAUCCGGAGGAUGCGAGCGUUAUCCGUAUUUAUUGGGUUUAAAGGGUGCGUAGGCGGAAUGCCAAGUCAACGGUAAAAUCGAGGGGCUCAACCUCGCUCCGCCUUUGAAACUGGCGGUCGUGAGUGAGCGAGAAGUAUGCGGAAUGCGUGGGGUAGCGGUGAAAUGCAUAGAUAGCAGGCAGAACACCGAUUGCGAAGGCAGCAUACCGG